Molecule: microRNA precursor, 54 nt
Filed under: Ciona intestinalis (vase tunicate)
Lineage: Eukaryota; Metazoa; Chordata; Ascidiacea; Phlebobranchia; Cionidae
Description: microRNA cin-mir-4138 precursor
Source: miRBase by way of RNAcentral
UAGAUGAAGAGAGUAAUGAUUCAUUGCUUGGAACAUUAUCACAAACUUCAUUAA